RNAcentral lists this ribosomal RNA (245 nucleotides) under uncultured bacterium. RNAcentral describes it as "partial 16S ribosomal RNA". It matches the Rfam family "Bacterial small subunit ribosomal RNA", at positions 524 to 769 of the family's 1533-position model. The record is from RNAcentral.
UACAGAGGGUGCGAGCGUUAAUCGGAAUUACUGGGCGUAAAGCGCGCGUAGGCGGCUUUGCAAGUCGGGUGUGAAAUCCCCAGGCUUAACCUGGGAACUGCAUUCGAGACUGCAUUGCUAGAGUAUGGGAGAGGGAAGUGGAAUUUCCGGUGUAGCGGUGAAAUGCGUAGAUAUCGGAAGGAACAUCAGUGGCGAAAGCGACUUCCUGGACCAAUACUGACGCUCAUGUGCGAAAGCGUGGGAGC